CGCGAGCAUUUUAAUCACCCGCUCAGCGCUUUCAUUUUAGUUUCGUCACUCGUUUCCGUAUCGGUCACUAUUUUCGGCUCUCAAUUUGGUUGCUGUAUUCCGUACCGGUGACGUUUGACAUUUGAAAGUUCAUCAAAUAGCAGCGCUCUUAUCGCGCUACCAAAUUUGGUCACCUGUCAGUCGCGCUACUGUUAUAGCAACGCGUUUAGUAGCGACCGGUAAAGUGUCAAGUAAUGAUACUGCGCUGCCAAACGGCUCAAACUCACCACCGAUUAUGCUAGACAGCAGCCAUUGAAGAUGUGUAUGGAUGACAACAGGUUUUCGUACGGUUUGGAGAGAUUCAGCCAUGAAAACACUCAGUGGAACUUGUACGGAACAUGGACGAGUAGGGCCACCGAAUCAGAACAGCAUUAUAUUUAGCUAUACGGCUAGGAAUCCAGGUAUGCAAGCACAAGUCUUUCGCAGCAUACCUAUUCCGUUAGAUGUUAUGCCACACAUUUUCCGAGUCAUAUCAGAGCUUAAUAAGCUACCAACAAAAAAGCUAUUGAUGAAUAAAGG
Molecule: long non-coding RNA, 558 nt
Organism: Armigeres subalbatus
Lineage: Eukaryota; Metazoa; Arthropoda; Insecta; Diptera; Culicidae
Exons: 3
Source: RefSeq, a predicted model, not a curated record